CCGGCACAUCCUAAAUUCUUGUAGACUUUCUGCCUUCCUCUCUCUGGCUCGGUUCCUCUGAGAAUUCACCAAGAAGAACUUGUUGGGCAGCUUCCCUUUCCACACAGACCAAAGGAGCCCACACCUCCGCAGGGACUCCAGACUUCACUGCAAAGAAAUCCAACCACAAGAAGACAGGAGGAGCGUUGGCUGGCCAGUGCCUGCUGAUGUGGGAAGGAAAAGCUUUGUGUGGCUGAUGGAUUGGGCUCCACAAGGACCUGAAGCUGGGGAUCCUAAGUACCCUCAAGAUUAUGAGAAUGUGGAUUCUGCACCUUGUACUCCAAAUGGAUCAGCUUUGGAAGUGAGCCUUGGUGGGGAGGCUGUAACAGAGCAGUGACAGAAAAGAGAAAACAGCCUAGAAUCAGGACAUGUAAUUGACAGUUGGAAGAUCUGAGGACUCACGUUCAGCAAAUGAAGGCAAAUGGCAGGGAUAACAGUGGAGGAGAUUCUCAUUUUACAUCAAAGCCCACGGGUUCGGGCAUCCUCCUGCAGCCCUUCCUGACUGCCCUCAAAACCAGUGCCAUCGCACUGCCUACAGCUGCUGUACCUCUGCAGUGACACAGACACCCAGCCCCUCCCAUCCCCUCUGCUGAGACACGUACCCCUCCACCCAGAGGCCUCCCCAGGAUCCGGCAACUGCAGGGGUGCGGCUUGUCUCCACCAGAACUCCGGCUGAAAUUUGAUCCCCAGUCUCACAGCGCUGGAGAGGAGAUGGGUCGCCCUCUGGCCAGGGCUUGGCCGGGCCUGGAUCCUGCGCGUCAGCUGUGUGAGCAGAGUCUUUCUCCAGGGUUUGCUCCAGUCACAACAGAGCAACCUCGAAGUGGAAGCUGGUGUUGCUUGCUGUUCUGUGGUACAAAGACCUUCCAACAACAGAAGGAAAAGCAGCUUACAUGUAGAGGGAAACAGAGUUUCAGUGUCUGAGCCACGGCUGCAGCCCACGUCGUGAUGCUUCUGUGUGGACCCCACUCACCUCCUCCAUCACGACUGCAGCUUCUGUGACAGCAUCUGGCCGGCGUCUCGGGGACCGCAAAUUUGAGAUUUUGAGAAGGUUGGGGAGUAAGCUCCCUGCCGUUCCACCAAACUUUGGCUGCUAUGCAUCCAAAUGCAUAGACUAACCAAAGCCAGAAGGAAGACUGACAUCACAGCAGUGUACCGCUGCUCAGGCUGACCACCCCUUCGGGGGGAAUGUGAAUUAAGUGGGAAAAGAUCAUUAAAGCUUGAUA
This is a long non-coding RNA of Chinchilla lanigera (long-tailed chinchilla), 1262 nucleotides long. RefSeq lists it as uncharacterized. NCBI's taxonomy places the organism in Eukaryota, Metazoa, Chordata, Mammalia, Rodentia, Chinchillidae. The transcript has 6 exons. The record is from RefSeq and is a predicted model, not a curated record.